UGCUUGCACUAAGAUGAUUUUGGAUCCGACUGAGUGGCGAACUGGUGAGUAACACGUGGGUAACCUGCCCAGAAGAAGGGGAUAACACCUGGAAACAGAUGCUAAUACCGUAUAACAACAAGAACCACAUGGUUCUUGUUUGAAAGCUGGCCUUUGUGCUAGUGCUUCUGGAUGGACCCGCGGCGUAUUAGCUAGUUGGUGAGAUAAUAGCUCACCAAGGCAAUGAUACGUAGCAGACCUGAGAGGGUAAUCUGCCACAAUGGGACUGAGACACGGCCCAUACUCCUACGGGAGGCAGCAGUAGGGAAUCUUCCACAAUGGACGAAAGUCUGAUGGAGCAACGCCGCGUGAGUGAAGAAGGGUUUCGGCUCGUAAAACUCUGUUGUUAGAGAAGAACAGCCGUGAGAGCAACUGCUCACGGUAUGACGGUAUCUAACCAGAAAGUCACGGCUAACUACGUGCCAGCAGCCGCGGUAAUACGUAGGUGGCAAACGUUGUCCGGAUUUAUUGGGCGUAAAGGGAGCGCAGGCGGUUUAUUAAGUCUGAUGUGAAAGCCUUCGGCUUAACCGGAGAAGUGCAUCGGAAACUGAUAAACUUGAGUGCAGAAAAGGAUAGUGGAACUUCAUGUGUAGCGGUGAAAUGCGUAGAUAUAUGAAGGAACACCAGUGGCGAAGGCGGCUAUCUGGUCUGUAACUGACGCUGAGGCUCGAAAGCAUGGGUAGCAAACAGGAUUAGAUACCCUGGUAGUCCAUGCCGUAAACGAUGAAUGCUAGGUGUU
RNAcentral lists this ribosomal RNA (778 nucleotides) under Fructilactobacillus sanfranciscensis. Its description in RNAcentral is "bacterial SSU rRNA". It matches the Rfam family "Bacterial small subunit ribosomal RNA", at positions 65 to 824 of the family's 1533-position model. The record is from RNAcentral. Lineage: Bacteria; Bacillati; Bacillota; Bacilli; Lactobacillales; Lactobacillaceae.